This 253-nucleotide ribosomal RNA is filed under the name uncultured bacterium. Its description in RNAcentral is "partial 16S ribosomal RNA". It matches the Rfam family "Bacterial small subunit ribosomal RNA", at positions 524 to 776 of the family's 1533-position model. The record is from RNAcentral.
UACGUAGGGUGCGAGCGUUAAUCGGAAUUACUGGGCGUAAAGCGUGCGCAGGCGGUUUUGUAAGCCAGAUGUGAAAUCCCCGGGCUUAACCUGGGAAUGGCAUUUGGGACUGCAAGGCUGGAGUGUGGCAGAGGAGACUGGAAUUCCUGGUGUAGCAGUGAAAUGCGUAGAUAUCAGGAGGAAUACCGAUGGCGAAGGCAGGUCUCUGGGCUGACACUGACGCUCAUGCACGAGAGCGUGGGGAGCAAACAGG